UUUUAUGGAGAGUUUGAUCCUGGCUCAGGAUGAACGCUGGCGGCGUGCCUAAUACAUGCAAGUCGAGCGAACAGACGAGGAGCUUGCUCCUCUGACGUUAGCGGCGGACGGGUGAGUAACACGUGGAUAACCUACCUAUAAGACUGGGAUAACUUCGGGAAACCGGAGCUAAUACCGGAUAAUAUAUUGAACCGCAUGGUUCAAUAGUGAAAGACGGUUUUGCUGUCACUUAUAGAUGGAUCCGCGCCGCAUUAGCUAGUUGGUAAGGUAACGGCUUACCAAGGCAACGAUGCGUAGCCGACCUGAGAGGGUGAUCGGCCACACUGGAACUGAGACACGGUCCAGACUCCUACGGGAGGCAGCAGUAGGGAA
This 372-nucleotide ribosomal RNA is filed under the name Staphylococcus epidermidis NIHLM031. Its description in RNAcentral is "bacterial SSU rRNA". It matches the Rfam family "Bacterial small subunit ribosomal RNA", at positions 1 to 361 of the family's 1533-position model. Lineage: Bacteria; Bacillati; Bacillota; Bacilli; Caryophanales; Staphylococcaceae. The record is from RNAcentral.